This 406-nucleotide ribosomal RNA is filed under the name uncultured bacterium. RNAcentral describes it as "partial 16S ribosomal RNA". It matches the Rfam family "Bacterial small subunit ribosomal RNA", at positions 30 to 526 of the family's 1533-position model. The record is from RNAcentral.
AUUGAACGCUGGCGGCAGGCCUAACACAUGCAAGUCGAACGAGUGGCGGACGGGUGAGUAAUGUCUGGGAAACUGCCCGAUGGAGGGGGAUAACUACUGGAAACGGUAGCUAAUACCGCAUACCAUCGGAUGUGCCCAGAUGGGAUUAGCUAGUAGGUGGGGUAACGGCUCCCCUCGGCGACGAUCCCUAGCUGGUCUGAGAGGAUGACCAGCCACACUGGAACUGAGACACGGGCCAGACUCCUACGGGAGGUAGCAGUGGGGAAUAUUGCACAAUGGGCGAAAGCCUGAUGCAGCCAUGCCGCGUGUAUGAAGAAGGCCUUCUGGUUGUAAAGUACUUUCAGAGAGGAGGCGUUACUCGCAGAAGAAGCAUCGGCUAAAGAAGUGCCAGCAGCCGCGGUAAUUC